AUUGAACGCUGGCGGCAUGCCUUACACAUGCAAGUCGAACGGUAACGCGGGGCAACCUGGCGACGAGUGGCGAACGGGUGAGUAAUGUAUCGGAACGUGCCCAGUUGUGGGGGAUAACUGCUCGAAAGAGCAGCUAAUACCGCAUACGACCUGAGGGUGAAAGCGGGGGAGCGCAAGACCUCGCGCAGUUGGAGCGGCCGAUAUCAGAUUAGGUAGUUGGUGGGGUAAAGGCUCACCAAGCCAACGAUCUGUAGCUGGUCUGAGAGGACGACCAGCCACACUGGGACUGAGACACGGCCCAGACUCCUACGGGAGGCAGCAGUGGGGAAUUUUGGACAAUGGGGGCAACCCUGAUCCAGCCAUGCCGCGUGCGGGAAGAAGGCCUUCGGGUUGUAAACCGCUUUUGUCAGGGAAGAAAAGACUCCUGUUAAUACCGGGGGUUCAUGACGGUACCUGAAGAAUAAGCACCGGCUAACUACGUGCCAGCCGCCGCAGUAA
RNAcentral lists this ribosomal RNA (498 nucleotides) under uncultured bacterium. RNAcentral's name for it is "partial 16S ribosomal RNA". It matches the Rfam family "Bacterial small subunit ribosomal RNA", at positions 29 to 523 of the family's 1533-position model. The record is from RNAcentral.